GCACUGGUAGCUCAGUUGGAUAGAGCGCAGGCUUGCGAAGUCUGAGGCCAGAGGUUCAAGUCCUCUUCAGUGCACCA
This 77-nucleotide transfer RNA is filed under the name Deinococcus sp. QL22. RNAcentral describes it as "tRNA-Arg". It matches the Rfam family "tRNA". From Rfam's summary of the family: Transfer RNA (tRNA) molecules are approximately 80 nucleotides in length. Lineage: Bacteria; Thermotogati; Deinococcota; Deinococci; Deinococcales; Deinococcaceae. The record is from RNAcentral.